Puntigrus tetrazona (Sumatra barb) is the source of this 700-nucleotide long non-coding RNA. RefSeq lists it as uncharacterized. The record is from RefSeq and is a predicted model, not a curated record. The transcript has 3 exons. Lineage: Eukaryota; Metazoa; Chordata; Actinopteri; Cypriniformes; Cyprinidae.
UGGAGGGUGUGCGGAUAGAUGGGGACAAUAACGCACUGUGAGCUUGACUUUGAUCGGUUUCCAGGCACCUGACGUAGCGCAAGGAAAGCAGGGAGACAGCAGAGAAAACUGUAUGCACUCUGUGGAACACGGCUUACUUUGAAGACACCCCAACAUGCUGUGACUUUCUGAAUGAUAAGUGUUUAGUGUGUCUGUCUGUUUGUGCUCCAGUGGUCAUGGCUACAUGUGAAGAUGCUGCAGACAUCUAUUGAAGAUUGUGUUUUCAGUACACAGAAUGCAAGGUCUGCCAUAGACUGCCCACACACUCACAGCCAAUGGCUCGCUCCAGGGAAAGCACUUGUGCCUGCGCAGCAGUGACCCCCUCCAAAGCACAAGCGCUGUUUUGACGGCACCCGUGAGGAGUCAUUGGUGAGCAAGUGAUGAAAUGCUAAAUUUCUCCAAUUUUGUUUCGAUGAACACACAAACGAACCAAAGGGUGAGCGAAUCUUUUCAAAUUUUUAUUUUGGGUGAACUAUUCCUUUAAGCAAACCUAAAAUACAUUACUUGCACUAUCUUUGGUUAUUUUUCAGCAUCAUUUACUGGAUCUAACAAUUACUUCUCAUAGUGGAGUCCCACAUACAAUGAGUUGCUGUUGUUAUCUGUGAAGCCUUCAGUUGUGUGCCUUUUGUUUUUGGAGCCAUAAUAAAGUGCUUGAGGUCCA